CCUACGGGUGGCAGCAGUGGGGGAUAUUGCACAAUGGGGGAAACCCUGAUGCAGCGACGCCGCGUGGGUGAAGAAGCGCCUCGGCGCGUAAAGCUCUGUCAGCAGGGAAGAAAAUGACGGUACUUGUAGAAGAAGCCCCUGCUAACUACGUGCCAGCAGCCGCGGUAAUACGUAGGGGGCGCGCGAUAUCCGGAUUUACGGGGGGUAACGGGGGCGCAGACGGCGAUGCAAGCCAGGAGUGAAAGCCCUGGGCUCAACCCCGGGACUGCGCUUGGAACUGGGUGGCUAGAGUACAGGAGGGGCAGGCGGAAUUCCUGGUGUAGCGGUGAAAUGCGUAGAGAUCAGGAGGAACACCGGUGGCGAAGGCGGCCUGCUGGACUGCAACUGACGUUGAGGCCCGAAAGCGUGGGGAGCAAACAGGAUUAGAUACCCUGGUAGUC
RNAcentral lists this ribosomal RNA (440 nucleotides) under uncultured bacterium. RNAcentral describes it as "partial 16S ribosomal RNA". It matches the Rfam family "Bacterial small subunit ribosomal RNA", at positions 338 to 795 of the family's 1533-position model. The record is from RNAcentral.